Beta vulgaris subsp. vulgaris (sugar beet) is the source of this 74-nucleotide non-coding RNA. Lineage: Eukaryota; Viridiplantae; Streptophyta; Magnoliopsida; Caryophyllales; Amaranthaceae. The record is from Rfam.
GAGAUUGUAGUUUAGUUGGUUAGAGCACCGCCCUGUCAAUGCGAAAGUUGCGGGUUUAAGCCUCGCCAGUCUCG